CUCAGUUAACCCCUGCAGGCCUCCUCUCCCAGCAGAGCCGAGCAGAGCCCGCAGCACGCCUGCCCCAGGCUGCCGGUGGCCCCCGGGGGGACAGGGCUGCCGCAGAGCCGGUGCUGGAAAGAAAGCUGCGGUCAGGACAGCCAUCCCAGGACAGUGGAGCGUGGUGUCAUCAUGCCUCACAGACUUCCUGGCCGGGGGGUCCAGCUCCACAGACAGCUGUCGAAUGGAGAUCUGGGAUCGGAACUAGACUCCAGCUUAUUUUUGAGGAAGAUUAGCCCUGAGCUAACAUCUGCUACCAAUCUUCCUCUUUUUGCUGAGGAAGGCUGGCCCUGAACUAACGUCUGUGCCCAUCUUCCUCUACUUUAUAUGUGGGACGCCUGCCACAGCAUGGCUUGCCAAGUGGUGCCAUGUCCACACCUGGAAUCCGAACUGGCGAACCCCGGGCCACCGAAGUGGAACGUGCAAACUUAACUGCUACGCCACCAGGCUGGCCCAGACUACAG
Molecule: long non-coding RNA, 503 nt
Filed under: Equus asinus (donkey)
Lineage: Eukaryota; Metazoa; Chordata; Mammalia; Perissodactyla; Equidae
Description: lncRNA (ENSEASG00005031768.1)
Source: RNAcentral